Long non-coding RNA from Oxyura jamaicensis (ruddy duck), 200 nucleotides. RefSeq lists it as uncharacterized. The record is from RefSeq and is a predicted model, not a curated record. The transcript is spliced from 4 exons. NCBI's taxonomy places the organism in Eukaryota, Metazoa, Chordata, Aves, Anseriformes, Anatidae.
ACUUAAUUAUAACUAAAAUAUAUUAAAUAGUAUUGUAGCCUAUAAUUUCUGUUCCUACAACAGGAAAACACAGACCAUCCUAAUAUUUGACCAUUUAUUUCAGUCCUGUAGCUUACUGGAGCUACUUUUCUCUAUUGCAACUUUUCUUCUCUGUAGAUGUGGUUUGCACUGCAGAGCAGAAUGCAGAUUUAAAAAGCAGU